CAGCAGCCACGGUAAUACGGAGGGUGCAAGCGUUAUCCGGAUUCACUGGGUUUAAAGGGUGCGUAGGCGGAUCUGUAAGUCAGUGGUGAAAUCUCCAGGCUUAACCUGGAAACUGCCGUUGAUACUAUAGGUCUUGAAUUUUGUGGAGGUUAGCGGAAUAUGUCAUGUAGCGGUGAAAUGCAUAGAUAUGACAUAGAACACCAAUUGCGAAGGCAGCUGGCUACACAACUAUUGACGCUGAGGCACGAAAGCGUGGGGAUCAAACAGGAUUAGAUACCCGCGUAGUCCCUGUCUCUUAUAC
This 301-nucleotide ribosomal RNA is filed under the name uncultured bacterium. Its description in RNAcentral is "partial 16S ribosomal RNA". It matches the Rfam family "Bacterial small subunit ribosomal RNA", at positions 509 to 807 of the family's 1533-position model. The record is from RNAcentral.